Molecule: RNase P RNA, 174 nt
Filed under: Rhodospirillaceae bacterium
Lineage: Bacteria; Pseudomonadati; Pseudomonadota; Alphaproteobacteria; Rhodospirillales; Rhodospirillaceae
Description: partial RNase P RNA component class A
Rfam family: Bacterial RNase P class A
About the family: Ribonuclease P (RNase P) is a ubiquitous endoribonuclease, found in archaea, bacteria and eukarya as well as chloroplasts and mitochondria.
Source: RNAcentral
AGAAAUGGCAUGGUAAACCCCACCCGGAGCAAGACCAAAUAGAAGAAACAUAUUUUGAAUUUCUUCAAAGUUUCUUGGGUAGGUCGCUAGAAAAAUUUGGUAACAAAUUUUCAAGAUUAAUAACUACAAUCAUAAUUUUUGAUACAAAACCCGGCUUAUUGCUCUCUGACACAA